Molecule: ribosomal RNA, 463 nt
Filed under: uncultured bacterium
Lineage: Bacteria
Description: partial 16S ribosomal RNA
Rfam family: Bacterial small subunit ribosomal RNA
Source: RNAcentral
GAACAAACGCUGGCGGCGUGCCUAAUACAUGCAAGUCGAACGGGGAAAGCUUUCUGGUGAGUACUAGUGGCGCACGGGUGAGGAACGCGUGGAUAAUCUGCCUUAGAGUGGGGGAUAACUAGUCGAAAGAUUAGCUAAUACCGCAUAAGACCACGAGAGCUGCGGCUUUUGAGGUCAAAGGUUUUUCGCUCUAAGAUGAGUCCGCGUAAGAUUAGCUAGUUGGUGAGGUAACGGCUCACCAAGGCGACGAUCUUUAACUGGUCUGAGAGGAUGAUCAGUCACACUGGAACUGAGACACGGUCCAGACUCCUACGGGAGGCAGCAGUAGGGAAUAUUGCACAAUGGAGGAAACUCUGAUGCAGCGACGCCGCGUGAGUGAUGAAGGCCUUCGGGUCGUAAAGCUCUGUCGCAGGGGAAUAACACAAUGAAGGUACCCUGUAAGAAAGGAUCGGCUAACUUCGUG